This 482-nucleotide ribosomal RNA is filed under the name uncultured Flavobacteriaceae bacterium. RNAcentral describes it as "bacterial SSU rRNA". It matches the Rfam family "Bacterial small subunit ribosomal RNA", at positions 28 to 505 of the family's 1533-position model. Lineage: Bacteria; Pseudomonadati; Bacteroidota; Flavobacteriia; Flavobacteriales; Flavobacteriaceae. The record is from RNAcentral.
GAUGAACGCUAGCGGCAGGCCUAACACAUGCAAGUCGAGGGGUAACAGAGGUAGCUUGCUACUUGCUGACGACCGGCGCACGGGUGCGUAACGCGUAUACAAUCUACCUUUUACUGGGGGAUAGCCUUUAGAAAUGAAGAUUAAUACCCCAUAGUAUUACCGGUUCGCAUGGACUGGUAAUUAAAGAUUACGGUAAAAGAUGAGUAUGCGUCCUAUUAGCUAGAUGGAGUGGUAACGGCACACCAUGGCAACGAUAGGUAGGGGCCCUGAGAGGGGGAUCCCCCACACUGGUACUGAGACACGGACCAGACUCCUACGGGAGGCAGCAGUGAGGAAUAUUGGACAAUGGAGGCAACUCUGAUCCAGCCAUGCCGCGUGCAGGAAGACUGCCCUAUGGGUUGUAAACUGCUUUUAUACAGGAAGAAACCGCUCUACGUGUAGAGCUCUGACGGUACUGUAAGAAUAAGGAUCGGCUAACUCCG